RNAcentral lists this small RNA (28 nucleotides) under Bombyx mori (domestic silkworm). RNAcentral describes it as "ovarian small RNA-22846". The record is from RNAcentral. Lineage: Eukaryota; Metazoa; Arthropoda; Insecta; Lepidoptera; Bombycidae.
UAGUAAGAAACGAUAGUUCAAACAUAAA